Molecule: ribosomal RNA, 700 nt
Filed under: uncultured bacterium
Lineage: Bacteria
Description: bacterial SSU rRNA
Rfam family: Bacterial small subunit ribosomal RNA
Source: RNAcentral
AGUGGCGCACGGGUGCGUAACACGUAUGCAACCUGCCCCAAACAGGGGGAUAGCCUCUCGAAAGAGAGAUUAAUACCCCAUAAUAUGUUGGUGUGGCAUCACACUGAUAUUAAAGCUGAGGCGGUUUGGGAUGGGCAUGCGGUUGAUUAGGUAGUUGGUGAGGUAACGGCUCACCAAGCCAACGAUCAAUAGGGGGUCUGAGAGGAUGUCCCCCCACACUGGUACUGAGACACGGACCAGACUCCUACGGGAGGCAGCAGUAGGGAAUAUCGGACAAUGGGGGCAACCCUGAUCCAGCCAUGCCGCGUGCAGGAAGACUGCCCUAUGGGUUGUAAACUGCUUUUGUACGGGAAGAAACCUUCGAAUGCGUUCGGAGUUGACGGUACCGUGAGAAUAAGGAUCGGCUAACUUCGUGCCAGCAGCCGCGGUAAUACGAAGGAUCCAAGCGUUGUCCGGAUUUACUGGGUUUAAAGGGUGCGUAGGCGGUUAAUUAAGUCAGUGGUGAAAGCCCUCAGCUUAACUGAGGAAUUGCCAUUGAAACUGAUUAGCUGGAGUAUGGUUGAGGUAACUGGAAUGUAACAUGUAGCGGUGAAAUGCUUAGAUAUGUUACAGAACACCGAUUGCGAAGGCAGGUUACUAAGCCAUAACUGACGCUGAGGCACGAAAGCGUGGGGAGCAAACAGGAUUAGAUACCCUGGUA